This is a long non-coding RNA of Nicotiana attenuata, 964 nucleotides long. RefSeq lists it as uncharacterized. The record is from RefSeq and is a predicted model, not a curated record. The transcript is spliced from 5 exons. Lineage: Eukaryota; Viridiplantae; Streptophyta; Magnoliopsida; Solanales; Solanaceae.
CCCAGGCCCAAAAACUAAAAUGAUCCAGCCGAAAUCCCCUCUACCUAAGACCCCCUUUCUAAUAACCUAAGAGAUCAGAUCAUGACACCCCUUCAUUAGAACCAAAAGCGGCAGAUCUCCAAAAAAAAGAAAAGAAAAGACUCCUGAAGCAGCCUCUUCUCCUCUUCAUCUUCUCCAUUGAAGACCACUCAGCAGCGACUGACUUCUCUUUCUCCAUACCAGGCACCGCCGAGACACUUUCCACCCAUCCUCACUGAUUUUCCCCAAAGAAAACAAUUUGAAAAUUUCAAAAAAAUAAAAGAAGAAGAAGUUGUGGUAGAAAAAUUGCUGUUGCUCGUUUUUCGGAUCUGCCGCUCUGUUGUCCAGAGUUUCAGAUCUGGGAUUGGUUUGGUUUAGCUGAUUUUCCUUACAAAUAGGUCAAUCCUAGUUCAAAUUCAGGUGUGUUUGUGUGCAGCGAUUGUUGAGUUCAGGCCGUCAGAGUUUUGGAGAAUGCAAGAAAAGGACAAGAUAGGAAGGAGGAAAGCAGGAUUGCGGAUGCCAUGCAGCUACCUUGCAAUCUCCGGCAAACUCUGGAUAAGCUGAGGACCCUCAUUCUGCCGCUCGGGCACCUAGAUCAGCACACAAGGUGCAAGGAGUAAUAUCCAGGUAAUUCUUCUCAGGUCUAUCAUCCUUGAGGGAGGUGACUAUUCAGAGACUUCGAGGUAUAUACUUCUGGUAGUCUAUUGGGCAUAGAGGCGCAGUUAAUGCGGAGACUUUACGGUGAGCUGCACUCCAUGUUACGAUCCGCAAUACACUCUCUGUAUGAGUUAUUUACAUUCUUCUAUCUAUCUUGUAUUCCAGACAGAUGUUGUAUUUUAUUAUAUUUUCUAGUAGAUGCUCAUGUGACACCGGGUUUUGGGAGUCCUUACGGGUUGUUCGCUAUUGUAGUUAUGAAAAUGUUAUCUUUUACCAAGUAGAUUCUAUU